CAAACUGCAGCUUCUGCUUCCCCCACUUCACUCUCAAAAACCAGUCUGAAAGAUGCAGAACUUAAUAUCCAGCAUAAACAGAACAGAUGACUGGGGAUACAAACAUCAUAAAGCCACCCCAAGACAGUCAUGCCUUCGGAUCAGGCUUGACCAGCUGUUGAAAGCAGGAAAAGCAGCCACUUGGUGGUUGCCUGCAGAGACAGGUCAGUGAACUUAAUGCUUUUUUCCAAAGUUAAAUGUUGAUUUUAUUUUAUAUUUCAUAAAUUCUGUGCAGCCAGUACAUAUUGUAAUGUGGUAAUUAUCAUGAAAUAAUAAACCAGGUUUGCUACAUAGACUUAUUCA
This 342-nucleotide long non-coding RNA is filed under the name Cyanistes caeruleus (blue tit). RNAcentral's name for it is "lncRNA (ENSCCEG00000020023.1)". The record is from RNAcentral. Lineage: Eukaryota; Metazoa; Chordata; Aves; Passeriformes; Paridae.